This 301-nucleotide ribosomal RNA is filed under the name uncultured bacterium. RNAcentral describes it as "partial 16S ribosomal RNA". It matches the Rfam family "Bacterial small subunit ribosomal RNA", at positions 509 to 807 of the family's 1533-position model. The record is from RNAcentral.
CAGUCGCCACGGUAAUACGAAGGGUGCAAGCGUUAAUCGGAAUUACUGGGCGUAAAGCGUGCGUAGGCGGUUUGUUAAGUCUGUUGUGAAAUCCCCGGGCUCAACCUGGGAAUGGCAAUGGAUACUGGCAAGCUAGAGUGUGUCAGAGGAUGGUGGAAUUCCCGGUGUAGCGGUGAAAUGCGUAGAGAUCGGGAGGAACAUCAGUGGCGAAGGCGGCCAUCUGGGACAACACUGACGCUGAGGCACGAAAGCGUGGGGAGCAAACAGGAUUAGAUACCCCAGUAGUCCCUGUCUCUUAUAC